Molecule: long non-coding RNA, 332 nt
Filed under: Capsella rubella
Lineage: Eukaryota; Viridiplantae; Streptophyta; Magnoliopsida; Brassicales; Brassicaceae
Description: long non-coding RNA (CRUB_LNC004590)
Source: RNAcentral
UGGGUUCUGGUUGUCUGAUUAAAAAUACUACUUAAACACAAGUACAAAUAUAGUAAUAGUUUUCCCAGUGGAACUGGUUGUCUGAUUAAAUAUCCAACUGAAAUACGCAUACAGAUAUAGUAAUAGUUGAACCUAGUGGAACUGGUUGUCUGAUUUCAAAUACAACUUAAAUAAGCAAAGGGCAAUAAACAAACAAAUCUCCAAGUCAAGUCAUAGGCUCAGGAACUUCAGGCUGCAACCACUUCUCCAAGUUAAUUCCAGGCUGAGACUUGUUGUUUUUCUUUCUCUUUCGACGUCGUUCUCCUGUGGAUGCAAACCGUGUUUCUUGAUUN